CCUGGUAGUGGGGGACAACGUUUCGAAAGGAACGCUAAUACCGCAUACGUCCUACGGGAGAAAGCAGGGGACCUUCGGGCCUUGCGCUAUCAGAUGAGCCUAGGUCGGAUUAGCUAGUUGGUGAGGUAAUGGCUCACCAAGGCGACGAUCCGUAACUGGUCUGAGAGGAUGAUCAGUCACACUGGAACUGAGACACGGUCCAGACUCCUACGGGAGGCAGCAGUGGGGAAUAUUGGACAAUGGGCGAAAGCCUGAUCCAGCCAUGCCGCGUGUGUGAAGAAGGUCUUCGGAUUGUAAAGCACUUUAAGUUGGGAGGAAGGGCAGUAAAUUAAUACUUUGCUGUUUUGACGUUACCGACAGAAUAAGCACCGGCUAACUCUGUGCCAGCAGCCGCGGUAAU
Molecule: ribosomal RNA, 400 nt
Filed under: uncultured bacterium
Lineage: Bacteria
Description: bacterial SSU rRNA
Rfam family: Bacterial small subunit ribosomal RNA
Source: RNAcentral